UGAAUAUAUCGGUUCUCGUUAGAUCACCGAAGUCAAGCAUCAUUGGGCGCGGUCAGUACUUGGAUGGCUGACCACCUGGGAAAACUGCGUGCCGUU
RNAcentral lists this ribosomal RNA (96 nucleotides) under Caerostris darwini. Lineage: Eukaryota; Metazoa; Arthropoda; Arachnida; Araneae; Araneidae. The record is from RNAcentral.